GGAGAGGUGGCAGAGCGGUCGAAUGUACCUGACUCGAAAUCAGGCGAUGGGGUAACCCAUCCGGGGGUUCGAAUCCCCCCCUCUCCGCCA
Molecule: transfer RNA, 90 nt
Filed under: Candidatus Symbiobacter mobilis CR
Lineage: Bacteria; Pseudomonadati; Pseudomonadota; Betaproteobacteria; Burkholderiales; Comamonadaceae
Description: tRNA-Ser (CGA) (tRNA-Ser-CGA-1-1)
Rfam family: tRNA
About the family: Transfer RNA (tRNA) molecules are approximately 80 nucleotides in length. Their secondary structure includes four short double-helical elements and three loops (D, anti-codon, and T loops).
Source: RNAcentral